GGAUUGUGGUCUCUCAUACCGGACGGGGUAUGGAGUCCUUAUGUGUUUUGGCGCCCAUACCGGACGGAGUAUGGGGACGGCCCGUUUCACCCUUAUACCGGACGGGGUAUUGAGGUUUAUAGUUUUGGCGCCCAUACCGGACGGGGUAUGGGGACGGUCCUGAAAUCUGAUUACAAGUGUUAAGGGUUCACGGGUAGCGGGACCCCUAU
This 209-nucleotide long non-coding RNA is filed under the name Carica papaya (papaya). Its description in RNAcentral is "long non-coding RNA (CPAP_LNC016432)". Lineage: Eukaryota; Viridiplantae; Streptophyta; Magnoliopsida; Brassicales; Caricaceae. The record is from RNAcentral.